Molecule: ribosomal RNA, 253 nt
Filed under: uncultured bacterium
Lineage: Bacteria
Description: partial 16S ribosomal RNA
Rfam family: Bacterial small subunit ribosomal RNA
Source: RNAcentral
UACAGAGGUCUCAAGCGUUGUUCGGAUUCAUUGGGCGUAAAGGGUGCGUAGGUGGCGGGGUAAGUCAGGUGUGAAAUCUCGGGGCUCAACCCCGAAACUGCACUUGAUACUGCCUUGCUCGAGUACUGGAGAGGAGAUUGGAAUUUACGGUGUAGCAGUGAAAUGCGUAGAUAUCGUGAAGAAGGCCUGUGGCGAAAGCAAGAUUCUGGGUGACGACUGACACUGAGGCACGAAAGCCAGGGGAGCAAACGGG